Molecule: ribosomal RNA, 468 nt
Filed under: uncultured bacterium
Lineage: Bacteria
Description: bacterial SSU rRNA
Rfam family: Bacterial small subunit ribosomal RNA
Source: RNAcentral
GAGUUUGAUCAUGGCUCAGGACGAACGCUGGCGGCAUGCCUAACACAUGCAAGUCUAGGGGUAGCAAUACCACUGGCGCACGGGUGAGUAACACGUAGGUUAUCUGCCCCCAUCACAGACAUAACCCCGGGAAACCGGGGCUAAUAUCUGAUGAGGUCGCGAGAUCAAAGCUUCGGCGGAUGGGGAUGAGCCUGCGGCUGAUUAGCUAGUUGGUGAGGUAAUGGCUCACCAAGGCGACGAUCAGUAGCUGGUCUGAGAGGAUGAACAGCCACACUGGAACUGAGACACGGUCCAGACUCCUACGGGAGGCAGCAGUGAGGAAUAUUGGUCAAUGGGAGCAAUCCUGAACCAGCAAUGCCGCGUGUGGGAUGACAGGGCUUCGCCUUGUAAACCACUGUCGGACGGGACGAAAGGAGGCCUCGGGCCUCUGGGACGGUACCGUCAAAGGAAGGGUCGGCUAACUACGUG